Molecule: ribosomal RNA, 388 nt
Filed under: uncultured bacterium
Lineage: Bacteria
Description: bacterial SSU rRNA
Rfam family: Bacterial small subunit ribosomal RNA
Source: RNAcentral
CGUUCGGGUGAGUAACACGUGACUACCUACCCUUGAGUGGGGGAUAACCCCGGGAAACCGGGGCUAAUACCGCAUAACAUCGAGAGAUCAAAGGAGCAAUCCGCUCUUGGAGGGGGUCGCGGCUGAUUAGCUAGUUGGUGAGGUAACGGCUCACCAAGGCGAAGAUCGGUAUCCGGCCUGAGAGGGCGCACGGACACACUGGAACUGAAACACGGUCCAGACUCCUACGGGAGGCAGCAGUGGGGAAUUUUGCGCAAUGGGGGAAACCCUGACGCAGCAACGCCGCGUGGAGGAUGAAGCCCUUUGGGGCGUAAACUCCUUUCGACUGGGAAGAUACUGACGGUACCAGUGGAAGAAGCACCGGCUAACUCUGUGCCAGCCGCCGCGG